This is a long non-coding RNA of Calidris pugnax (ruff), 2221 nucleotides long. RefSeq lists it as uncharacterized. The record is from RefSeq and is a predicted model, not a curated record. The transcript is spliced from 6 exons. Lineage: Eukaryota; Metazoa; Chordata; Aves; Charadriiformes; Scolopacidae.
UAAACCAAGAUCUUUUUAGCACAAGCUAUGAGAUGCUCUCUCAGCUGCUCAGAGCAUCCAUAUGGCUUUCCAAGCCUUGGGGACCUAAGGUAGUGUUAAAGGUGUUGGUAGCAGUUUGGGGACCAGACAGGAGUCUAGAAUUAGGUGAGGGUGGAGCUGAGUGAGUUAAGUGUAUGAGCUAUUGGCUACUAGCGUUUUAAUUACCUUCUCUUUGAGAUAAAUCUCAGUUACUUAGACUAGUUUUCACACUGCUGUUGUAGGAGACUGUAGGUUUAAAAUGGGUAAGCAACUAUUUUUUUUUCUAAACUGGAUUUCUUGAAGGAAGAAAGAAAAAAAAAAAAGCUAAUAAAAAUACUUCACUGAAAAACAAGCUCAGUGACAAGCUACUUAAAAACAAGGGCACAUUUUUCCAAAUAUUUGAAAUGCAGUAUCUUUUUUAUUUUCAUUUUCAAAGCUUGGAAAUGCAGAAGAUAAAGAGAGGGAGAAACAGUCCUGAGUUGUAAGAUUUGAGUAUGUUUUUAAAUUGCAUAUUUACCCCACGUAGCUAUCUGGUCUCUGGGGUGUGUGUGACCGCCUGGUGUAUGUGAUCACCCCUGGUGAUGCUCUUGGCACGACUAAUGCCAUUUUAUAAGGGAACCAGCCCUUCUCUGAGACCAAGCAGCUCAUAGAUCUGUUCCUGUGUUUGUUCCCUUUCCCUCAUUAUCAGGCCCUGAAGGUCCUGUGAACCAAGCAGACGAACCAAACAGAUUUCUUCCUCCCCUCCAUGCUGGCCUCAAGAUUCCUGGGUGCCAGGCCGGUUACUCCAUUCCUGGCUGGCCUUGAAGGUCCCAGGCACCCACCAGCCAGGUGGCAGUGAUGUCCCCAGCGCAGAAUGAGGAGCGUAACAGCACCCAGAGCACUGGCUAUAAAAUCAGUAACAAGCCCUAAGUGGGGAGCUUGGACCCGAACUGCUGCUGGACAGUGAGCCCCAUGGCCAGGGAUGCCACCUUAUCUGCUUCCUCCGAGGACUGAGUAAGCUUAGGUUUAUAUCCCGGCAGUACAGGGGCCAUCCUGCUGCUCUCAGCCAUUGGAAGAGUGGAAACCUCUCCUGUUCCUCCCUCGCCAGGUCGGGAUAAAUGGCACAUCAUCAGCUGCCUGUGAGGGUUGCUUGUGGCAUGCUGUCUGCCAUGCUCCUGCUGUAACACCGAGUGGGAUUUAUAUGGAUUCAAAAGGACAGAUAUCACUUACUGACAGAUUUGGGGAUACCUGAGCCUGUUCCUGAAAAGAGUCUUCCUCCAUGGCAUCACCAAAGCAAGGGACCAUUUCUCCGUGGUUCUGUAUCUGGCUGGUCUUGCAGUGCUGCCUUCUCCGAGACUUCCAGUGGAAUCCAGGAUGCUUGGUUUGAUGAUCUGCAAGCUGCUCCAUUUCACAUCUUGGGAAAGAAGAGGACCUGGGAUUCCUCCUGUCAGAGAUGUGGGGCUUGUGUUCGCAGAGGAAAAAGGUAUGUGAUGAUUUUCUCCCCCUGACCAGCGUAAGCAUGGAGAACUGGGAUACUUCUGGUCACUUUUGAGAACCCUGAGCCUCGCCUUCCAUGCAGAGGAGCCGGAGUCUGUUUGGAUGGUUUGAAUCUUUGCCAUCGUUCGGAGCAGAAUGAAGCUCUGUGAAGGGAGGGUGACUGAAUGCCAACUGGGAUGUCAUUAGCUCGGGCGGCCCGGGCAGCAGCUGAUGGGCAGUUUGCGGUGGAAGUCGUGCAGACAGAAGGGGCAUGACUCAGUGGUGGAGAGGCCCCGGCCUCUGGCUCUGUUCCCACCCCAAAGGUGUAUUCUGGGCUGGGGCAGGGACAGCUCGUGGCUGCACAAACACACAUCACUGGGUAAGAACACACAGGCUCCCCACGUGACCGGCCCUUUUCCAGGAGGCCGGUGGUGUUGCUGUGAUGUUGGGUGCUGCUGGCCCAGCUCCAUCUUUCUUCCACAGCAAUCAGUGGAAUCAUGUCCUAGUCUUGAAGUCUGGUGCUUUAGGAAUGAAAAGCUUAAUGGCUUUCCUUGGUAUAUAUAUUUUUUUUUUCCUUCUUUCUUUUAUGAAGCAUAGGGUGUUUAGAGCUAUGGAAGCAGUGCAAGAAAAAUAUUAAUGAAUAACUACGGAGUGCAGACAUUAACGCAUUCCUUUCUCUUGAAAUAACUGGCUUUUCUCUGUGGGCUCUGUAAAAGAAAAAUGUCUGAACCUCCUGUAUAGAAGCCAA